UACGUAGGGGGCAAGCGUUGUCCGGAUUUAUUGGGCGUAAAGAGCUCGUAGGCGGUUUGGUAAGUCUGGUGUGAAAUCUCCACGCUCAACGUGGAGGGGCCACCCGAUACUGCCAUGACUGGAGUCCGGUAGAGGAGUGUGGAAUUCCCGGUGUAGCGGUGAAAUGCGCAGAUAUCGGGAGGAACACCAGUAGCGAAGGCGGCUCGCUGGCCCGGUACUGACGCUGAGGCGCGAAAGCGUGGGGAGCAAACAGG
This 254-nucleotide ribosomal RNA is filed under the name uncultured bacterium. RNAcentral describes it as "partial 16S ribosomal RNA". It matches the Rfam family "Bacterial small subunit ribosomal RNA", at positions 524 to 776 of the family's 1533-position model. The record is from RNAcentral.